UGCCCAGGAGUAUCGCGAGAGUUCACCUGCGAGCAGCGCGAUUUACAACGCGAUGCAGGUGCUUCUUAUGAAGUGUGAGAACCGGGAAGUUCUUGUGCAUGAAGCAAGACUUUAAGUUUAAAGUCACAGUGGAGCCACUGAGCAGUGAGACUAAGUAUACUCGUCAGGCUUACAUCUGAAGACCAAACAUCUGUGGUGAAGUUCAUCGCGGAGUGGUUAUGAAGAAGCUCGUGAAUAUGAUCCGUCAUACGGUUGUAUAACUCCGAAUUACUUUAGGCACUGAUAGAACUGUUCUGUAAUGACGGAAGAUCAGCACAGAAUUCACCAGACUUGUGUCGAUGGACCUGAGCAAGUUCUUUUAUGAGGGUCUUGACAAACACACCUCAAAGCUGCUGUAUUUGUACCCCUCGAGGCGCCAUGCAGACAUCGCAGAAAGGAGUGCCAUACUGGAGCGCCUGGAUAAAAAUGUGAGUAGGUUUAUUUCAAGUGUACUUGUUUUGUAAAUACUGUGGUCAUUUCCUUUCUUGCUAUUUCUCUUGUCCUGCAUAAUUUGAAUAUAAAACAUUUGUACUUUUGAGGCAUCAAAUCACAGGAAGAGGGUUGCAGUACUGCUGGGGCUGCCACUGUCCAUGCGGGAGAAUCCAUCUCAGUUCUUACAGAUCUGUGAGCACACAGAUUCUGAAGAAGAGUUAAUCAAGGGCGUGACUGUUGGAAUCAGUACAGUUGUGGAUGACGCGAUGGACCCUAUUCCGUGUGACUGCAGUGAUGUAGCCCUUGUAAUGGAAGAAGUUGUCGUUCUACGCAAUCUUGGUGAUGUACCAAAUGCAUUUGUCAACUUGAUGGGAUUGCUUUAUGCACGUAACAUAAACUACCCCACA
Molecule: long non-coding RNA, 878 nt
Organism: Ictalurus punctatus (channel catfish)
Lineage: Eukaryota; Metazoa; Chordata; Actinopteri; Siluriformes; Ictaluridae
Exons: 3
Source: RefSeq, a predicted model, not a curated record